GCUGUGAUGGCCGAGUGGUGAAGGUGUUGGACUCGAAAUCCAAUAGGAUUUCCCUACGCAGGUUCAAAUCCUGCUCACAGCG
Non-coding RNA from Protobothrops mucrosquamatus (brown spotted pit viper), 82 nucleotides. The record is from the annotation of a RefSeq genome assembly. Lineage: Eukaryota; Metazoa; Chordata; Lepidosauria; Squamata; Viperidae.